AUCAGGUAGGGAGAGAUCAGGUACUAUCAGGUAGGGAGAGAUCAGGUACUAUCAGGUAGGGAGAGAUCAGGUACUAUCAGGUAGGGAGAGAUCAGGUACUAUCAGGU
Non-coding RNA from Salmo salar (Atlantic salmon), 107 nucleotides. The record is from RefSeq and is a predicted model, not a curated record. Lineage: Eukaryota; Metazoa; Chordata; Actinopteri; Salmoniformes; Salmonidae.